GAUGAACGCUGGCGGCGUGCCUAAUACAUGCAAGUCGAGCGAACGGACGAGAAGCUUGCUUCUCUGAUGUUAGCGGCGGACGGGUGAGUAACACGUGGAUAACCUACCUAUAAGACUGGGAUAACUUCGGGAAACCGGAGCUAAGACCGGAUGAUAUUUUGAACCGCAUGGUUCAAAAGUGAAAGACGGUCUUGCUGUCACUUAUAGAUGGAUCCGCGCUGCAUUGCUAGUUGGUAAGGUAACGGCUUACCAAGGCAACGAUGCAUAGCCGACCUGAGAGGGUGAUCGGCCACACUGGAACUGAGACACGGUCCAGACUCCUACGGGAGGCAGCAGUAGGGAAUCUUCCGCAAUGGGCGAAAGCCUGACGGAGCAACGCCGCGUGAGUGAUAAAGGUCUUCGGAUCGUAAAACUCUGUUAUUAGGGAAGAACAUAUGUGUAAGUAACUGUGCACAUCUUGACGGUACCUAAUCAGAAAGCCACGGCUAACUACGUG
RNAcentral lists this ribosomal RNA (496 nucleotides) under uncultured bacterium. RNAcentral's name for it is "partial 16S ribosomal RNA". It matches the Rfam family "Bacterial small subunit ribosomal RNA", at positions 28 to 507 of the family's 1533-position model. The record is from RNAcentral.